RNAcentral lists this ribosomal RNA (460 nucleotides) under uncultured bacterium. RNAcentral's name for it is "partial 16S ribosomal RNA". It matches the Rfam family "Bacterial small subunit ribosomal RNA", at positions 338 to 795 of the family's 1533-position model. The record is from RNAcentral.
CCUACGGGUGGCAGCAGUGAGGACUAUUGGUCAAUGGGCGCGAGCCUGCACCAGCCAAGUAGCGUGAAGGAUGACUGCCCUACGGGUUGUAAACUUCUUUUAUAAAAGAAUAAAGUGAGGCACGUGUGCCUUUUUGUAUGUCAUUUAUGAAUAAUGAUCGGCUAACUCCGUGCCAGCAGCCUCGGUAAUACGUAGGAUCCGAGCUUUAUCCGGAUUUAUUGGGUUUAAAGGGAGCGUAGAUGGGUUGUUAAGUCAGUUGGGAAAUUUUGCGGCUCAACCGUAACAUUGAAAUUGAUACUGGCAGUCUUGAGUACAGUUGAGGUAGGCGGAAUGCGUGGUGUAGCGGUGAAAUGCUUAGAUAUCACGAAGAACUCCGAUUGCGAAGGCAGCUUACUAAACUGCCACUGACAUUGAUGCUCGAAAGUGUGGGUAUCAAACAGGAUUAGAUACCCGAGUAGUC